GAUAAACGCUGGCGGCGUGCCUAAUACAUGCAAGUCGAACGAGGGAUCCUUGUAGCAAUACGGGGAUUUCCUAGUGGCGAAUGGGUGAGUAACGCGUUGGUGACCUGCCCCAAAGAGAGGAAUAACUCCGGGAAACUGGAGCUAAUACCUCAUGUGGUUGCGAGAUUUAGAAACUUGCAACUAAAGGAGAAAUCCACUUUGGGAGGGGCCUGCGUCCCAUCAGCUAGUUGGUAGGGUAAUGGCCUACCAAGGCGACGAUGGGUAGCCGGCCUGAGAGGGUGGUCGGCCACACUGGCACUGAAACACGGGCCAGACACCUACGGGAGGCUG
Molecule: ribosomal RNA, 330 nt
Filed under: uncultured Chloroflexota bacterium
Lineage: Bacteria; Bacillati; Chloroflexota
Description: bacterial SSU rRNA
Rfam family: Bacterial small subunit ribosomal RNA
Source: RNAcentral